RNAcentral lists this ribosomal RNA (271 nucleotides) under uncultured bacterium. RNAcentral describes it as "partial small subunit ribosomal RNA". It matches the Rfam family "Bacterial small subunit ribosomal RNA", at positions 26 to 285 of the family's 1533-position model. The record is from RNAcentral.
AGAGCGAACGCUGGCGGCGUGCUUAACACAUGCAAGUCGAGUGCGCAGUUUUCUGUAGCAAUACAGAGAAUGGGCGCACGGCGCACGGGUGAGUAACACGUGGGCAACCUGCCCUCCAAAGGGGGAUAACCCGCCGAAAGGCGGGCUAAUACCGCAUGACAUUCCGGGGUCUUCGGAUCCUGGAUUCAAAGGCCGAAAGGUCGUUGGGGGAGGGGCUCGCGCCCGAUUAGCUUGUUGGCGAGGUAAUGGCUCACCAAGGCUUUGAUCGGUA